Molecule: unclassified non-coding RNA, 492 nt
Filed under: Hevea brasiliensis (rubber tree)
Lineage: Eukaryota; Viridiplantae; Streptophyta; Magnoliopsida; Malpighiales; Euphorbiaceae
Source: RNAcentral
CGAUAGCAGUGACAGGGGAAUUAGAGGCUUUUAGAGAUGCCUGAUAUUGGAAAAAUUGUGCAUAUUCCUCUACAGAUAUUAAGACAGUUUUCUCAGAUGAGGGUGCAACUGUAGACUCAUCUAUUGCCAUGUUUGCCAUCUGAGACCGCUGAUUCUUCCUCUGAAGCUUUAGACAAUUGUAUUUUGUAUGAUCAGGCUCAUGAAAAUAAUAACAAAUAACUUCUUUUGAGUCCAGAUUAGAAUUGUUUUCCCCAUUAUGCUGAUUACUUCUAUUGCUUGAAUUUCCUCCUUUAUUUCUCUGUUGUCCAUUCAUAUUUUGACUAACAAGAGCACCACUAGUAGUUUGUGGAAGUUGGGUACUUUCUGUACGAAGGACACGUGUGAAUGUAUCAUGUAGAGAGGAAAUUUCAGAGCUAGAUAGGAUUUGAGAUUUAGCAGUCUCAUAUUCUGAAUGAAGACUUGUAAGAAAACUCAUAACAGCCAUCUGCUCUC